Molecule: transfer RNA, 71 nt
Filed under: Cavia porcellus (domestic guinea pig)
Lineage: Eukaryota; Metazoa; Chordata; Mammalia; Rodentia; Caviidae
Rfam family: tRNA
About the family: Transfer RNA (tRNA) molecules are approximately 80 nucleotides in length. Their secondary structure includes four short double-helical elements and three loops (D, anti-codon, and T loops).
Source: Rfam by way of RNAcentral
GGGGAUGGGGCUCAGUGUUAGAGUACUUCGCUAUCAUAUGUAAGGCUUGGGUUCAAUCCCCAGCAUCUCCA